CCCCUGUAAAGGUAACACACACACACCGGAUCCACAUAGAACCCCCUGUAAAGGUAACACACACACCGGAUCCACAUAGAACCCCCUGUACAGCCAAUAGGAGUGCAGCUGGUCAGUAUUCAGACGAGUCCUAACGACCGCCUCCUCUGGGCCUUGGACAACAGAGGAAGCGUCUUUGUCAGGACCGGACUCAGUGAUGAGAUGCCUGUGGGGACGGACUGGGAGCUGGUACCAGGUCUGGCGGUCAGUCAGCUGGUCCUCAGCUCUCGGACAGUUUGGGUUCGGUGUGUAAACGGAGAUCUGGCUCGACGUUACGGCGUCUCUGACAGAAACCCUGCAGGAGACUACUGGAAGAAGAUCCCCGGAAACGCCAACUGGUUAACUGGU
This is a long non-coding RNA of Micropterus dolomieu (smallmouth bass), 387 nucleotides long. RefSeq lists it as uncharacterized. The transcript is spliced from 3 exons. NCBI's taxonomy places the organism in Eukaryota, Metazoa, Chordata, Actinopteri, Centrarchiformes, Centrarchidae. The record is from RefSeq and is a predicted model, not a curated record.